Long non-coding RNA from Sander lucioperca (pikeperch), 427 nucleotides. RefSeq lists it as uncharacterized. The record is from RefSeq and is a predicted model, not a curated record. The transcript is spliced from 3 exons. NCBI's taxonomy places the organism in Eukaryota, Metazoa, Chordata, Actinopteri, Perciformes, Percidae.
GAUUAUUUGGUGAUGGCGGCUGCUUGGUUUUAUUACAGACUCUAUUGCCUUUUUCAUCAAUUUGGGGGGAGCGUCUGUCACUGCGGCCCCGCGAGCCAGACCCCACCGCCUUGACCCCUGGGUCAAAGGUCAGCCGGCCACUCCGCCAUUACCGCAACCCAUCAGCACUCAGCAGACAUGGCCAGACAGACACCAGGCGGACCCGGCUCCUUUUUAAUUAUGGCACUCAGACACACCACAAGUCACCGGUCAUGUUGUAUGCCUCAGUCGCUCGUCUCCCUCGGAGUCCUUGCACACCAAUCUCGUCAUACCAGAGGUUCAAAGAUGAAGAUUAUUUUGAGUGACCUGGUCUUGACAGUGAGCUUAAAGAUGGAGCGAUGUAAACUAAUGACCAGGAUUCAAACCUGCAACUUUACAGGCAGUUUAC